UACAGAGGGUGCAAGCGUUAAUCGGAAUUACUGGGCGUAAAGCGCGCGUAGGUGGUUUGGUAAGUCGGUUGUGAAAUCCCCGGGCUUAACCUGGGAAUUGCAGUCGAUACUGCCUGACUCGAGUGUGGGAGAGGGAAGCGGAAUUUCCGGUGUAGCGGUGAAAUGCGUAGAUAUCGGAAGGAACACCAGUGGCGAAGGCGGCUUCCUGGCCCAACACUGACACUGAGGCGAGAAAGCGUGGGUAGCGAACAGG
This 253-nucleotide ribosomal RNA is filed under the name uncultured bacterium. RNAcentral's name for it is "partial 16S ribosomal RNA". It matches the Rfam family "Bacterial small subunit ribosomal RNA", at positions 524 to 776 of the family's 1533-position model. The record is from RNAcentral.